AGCAGCAGCCGCGGGAAAACGUAGGUGGCAAGCGUUGUCCGGAAUUAUUGGGCGUAAAGGGCUCGCAGGCGGUUUCUUAAGUCUGAUGUGAAAGCCCCCGGCUCAACCGGGGAGGGUCAUUGGAAACUGGGAAACUUGAGUGCAGAAGAGGAGAGUGGAAUUCCACGUGUAGCGGUGAAAUGCGUAGAGAUGUGGAGGAACACCAGUGGCGAAGGCGACUCUCUGGUCUGUAACUGACGCUGAGGAGCGAAAGCGUGGGGAGCGAACAGGAUUAGAUACCCGAGUAGUCCCUGUCUCUUAUAC
RNAcentral lists this ribosomal RNA (303 nucleotides) under uncultured bacterium. Its description in RNAcentral is "partial 16S ribosomal RNA". It matches the Rfam family "Bacterial small subunit ribosomal RNA", at positions 507 to 807 of the family's 1533-position model. The record is from RNAcentral.